UGCCUUUCUUUCCCCUCUCAUGAUGUUUGC
Molecule: non-coding RNA, 30 nt
Filed under: Mus musculus (house mouse)
Lineage: Eukaryota; Metazoa; Chordata; Mammalia; Rodentia; Muridae
Source: RNAcentral